UACGUAGGGUGCGAGCGUGUCCGGAAUUAUUGGGCGUAAAGAGCUCGUAGGUGGCGGGUCACGUCGGGUGUGAAAGCCCGGGGCUUAACUCCGGGUCUGCAUUCGAUACGGGUCGUGCUGGGGUCCGGCAGGGGAGACUGGAAUUCCUGGUGUAGCGGUGAAAUGCGCAGAUAUCAGGAGGAACACCGGUGGCGAAGGCGGGUCUCUGGGCCGGUACCGACGCUGAGGAGCGAAGCGUGGGGAGCGAACAGG
RNAcentral lists this ribosomal RNA (252 nucleotides) under uncultured bacterium. RNAcentral's name for it is "partial 16S ribosomal RNA". It matches the Rfam family "Bacterial small subunit ribosomal RNA", at positions 524 to 776 of the family's 1533-position model. The record is from RNAcentral.